UUAAAUUAUUAAGGGCGUAUGGUGGAUGCCUUGGCAUUAGAAGACGAUGAAGGACGCGACAAACAGCGAUAUUGCUUCGGGGAGUUGUAAGUAAACUUUGAUCCGGAGAUCUCCGAAUGAGGAAACUCACCCAUUAGGGUAUCAUAAAGUGAAUACAUAGCUUUAUAGAAGUCAACCCCGUGAACUGAAACAUCUUAGUAACGGGAGGAAAAGAAAGAAAAAUCGAUUGCCUGAGUAGUGGCGAGCGAAACGGCAACAGCCCAAACCAGUCUUAGGACUGGGGUUGUAGGACACUAAUAUACGGAGUUACCAAGUUUUAUGAUAGCAGAACACUUUGGAAAGAGUGACCAUAGGAAGUGAUAGUCUUGUAUGCGAAAUCAUGAAACCUCUAUAGUGUAUCCUGAGUACGGCGGGACACGAGAAAUCUUGUCGGAAUCUGUGGGGACCAUCCCAUAAGGCUAAAUACUCUCUAAUGACCGAUAGUGAACAAGUACCGUGAGGGAAAGGUGAAAAGAACCCCGGGAGGGGAGUGAAAUAGAGAAUCUGAAACCAUAUGCUUACAAAAAGUUCGAGCCCAUUAACGGGUGAGAGCGUGCCUUUUGCAGAAUGAGCCGGCGAGUUAUGGUAUUGUGCAAGGUUAAGUGGAAAACACGGAGCCGAAGCGAAAGCGAGUCUUAAUAGGGCGAUUUAGUACAAUGCUGUAGACCCGAAACCGGGUGAUCUAGCCAUGAGCAGGUUGCCGUUGGGGUACUACCCAACGGAGGGGCGAACCAGGGUACUAUGUAACGUGCUUGGAUGACUUGUGGCUAGCGGUGAAAUUCCAAUCGAACUCGGAUAUAGCUGGUUCUCCCCGAAAUAGGUUUAGGCCUAGCCUUGAAUUAUUUCAUCCUGGAGGUAGAGCACUGAAUGUGGAAUGGCCGCGUCUAGCGGUACUGACUGCAAUCAACCUCCGAAUGCCAGGAAUUGUAGAUUCAGGAGUCAGUGUAUGAGGUGAUAACGUCCAUACGCGAGAGGAAAACAAUCCAGACCAUCAACUAAGGUCCCUAAAUAUAUGUUAAGUGGGAAAGGAUGUGGAGACGCACGAACAGCUAGGAGGUUGGCUUAGAAGCAGCCAUCCUUUAAAGAGUGCGUAAUAGCUCACUAGUCGAGUAUCUCUGCGCCGAAAAUGUACCGGGGCUAAACAUAUUACCGAAGUUAUGGAUUUAUAAUUUAUUAUAAAUGGUAGGGGAGCGUUCUAAGGGCGCUGAAGGUAGAUCGUGAGGACUACUGGAGCGCUUAGAAGUGAGAAUGCCGGUGUGAGUAACGUAAGGUAGGUGAGAAUCCUACCCACUAUUUGACCAAGGUUUCCAGGGUCAAGUUCGUCUUCCCUGGGUUAGUCGGGACCUAAGGCGAGGCUGAAAAGCGUAGUCGAUGGACAACAGGUUUAUAUUCCUGUACUGCUUAUAGGACUGAUGGAGUGACGGAGAAAGCUAGAAAGAGCCAGUUAUUGGAUUCUGGUCUAAGCGUUUAGGUUGAUGCACAGGAAAAUCCGUGAUAUCGAUAAGACUGAAGCGUGAUGGCGACGUGGUCUACGGACCGCUAAGUCUUUUGAAGCUAUGCUUCCAAGAAAAACUUCUAAAGAUAUGUUAUAAGUACCCGUACCUAGAACCAACACAGGUGGUCAAGGAGAGAAUCCUAAGGUGAGCGAGAGAACUAUGGUUAAGGAACUCGGCAAAAUGACCCCGUAACUUCGGGAGAAGGGGUGCUCCGGAAACGGAGCCGCAGUGAAAAGUCCCAGGCGACUGUUUACCAAAAACACAGGUCUCUGCGAAAGCGAAAGCUGAAGUAUAGGGGCUGACGCCUGCCCGGUGCUGGAAGGUUAAGGGGAUGUGUUAGAGCAAUCGAAGCACUGAACUUAAGCCCCAGUAAACGGCGGCCGUAACUAUAACGGUCCUAAGGUAGCGAAAUUCCUUGUCGGGUAAGUUCCGACCC
RNAcentral lists this ribosomal RNA (1971 nucleotides) under human gut metagenome. Its description in RNAcentral is "bacterial LSU rRNA". It matches the Rfam family "Bacterial large subunit ribosomal RNA", at positions 1 to 1989 of the family's 2925-position model. The record is from RNAcentral.